This 253-nucleotide ribosomal RNA is filed under the name uncultured bacterium. RNAcentral describes it as "partial 16S ribosomal RNA". It matches the Rfam family "Bacterial small subunit ribosomal RNA", at positions 524 to 776 of the family's 1533-position model. The record is from RNAcentral.
UACGUAGGGCGCAAGCGUUGUCCGGAAUUAUUGGGCGUAAAGAGCUCGUAGGCGGUCUGUCGCGUCCGUUGUGAAAACUCGAGGCUCAACCUCGGGCUUGCAGUGGAUACGGGCAGACUAGAGUGCGGUAGGGGAGACUGGAAUUCCUGGUGUAGCGGUGAAAUGCGCAGAUAUCAGGAAGAACACCCGUGGCGAAGGCGGCUCUCUGGAACGCAACUGACGCUGAGACGCGAAAGCGUGGGGAGCAAACAGG